GGGCGCAUAGCGCAGUGGUAGCGCGUCCGCUUUGCAAGCGGAAGGCCCCGGGUUCAGUUGAAGAAGUCUGUAUUUA
Molecule: transfer RNA, 76 nt
Filed under: Pythium insidiosum
Lineage: Eukaryota; Oomycota; Peronosporomycetes; Pythiales; Pythiaceae
Description: tRNA-Ala
Rfam family: tRNA
About the family: Transfer RNA (tRNA) molecules are approximately 80 nucleotides in length. Their secondary structure includes four short double-helical elements and three loops (D, anti-codon, and T loops).
Source: RNAcentral